RNAcentral lists this ribosomal RNA (253 nucleotides) under uncultured bacterium. RNAcentral describes it as "partial 16S ribosomal RNA". It matches the Rfam family "Bacterial small subunit ribosomal RNA", at positions 524 to 776 of the family's 1533-position model. The record is from RNAcentral.
UACGAAGGGGGCUAGCGUUGUUCGGAAUCACUGGGCGUAAAGCGCACGUAGGCGGAUUUGUUAGUCAGGGGUGAAAUCCCGGGGCUCAACCUCGGAACUGCCUUUGAUACUGCAGAUCUCGAGUCCGGAAGAGGUGAGUGGAAUUCCUAGUGUAGAGGUGAAAUUCGUAGAUAUUAGGAAGAACACCAGUGGCGAAGGCGGCUCACUGGUCCGGUACUGGCGAUGAGGUGCGAAAGAGUGGGGAGCAAACAGG